Prionailurus viverrinus (fishing cat) is the source of this 4755-nucleotide long non-coding RNA. RefSeq lists it as uncharacterized. NCBI's taxonomy places the organism in Eukaryota, Metazoa, Chordata, Mammalia, Carnivora, Felidae. The record is from RefSeq and is a predicted model, not a curated record. The transcript is spliced from 4 exons.
CCUGGGGCUGUGACCCACAUCCUCAUUCCUGAGGGGCUCGAAAUGCCAGGGAGGUCGGUCUUCCACUUGCGGUUUCCACUUCCUUGAUGCUCUUCCUCUGGGCUUCCUAUGGGCCAGCCCUCCCUUCUCUUUCUGAUGUCAUCCAAUCAGACGGGCCAUCUGCAGCCACCAGCCACUCUGUGAAAAUGGCCAAGCAGCCCCGCCCCCCGCAUCCCCUGCAUCCCUCCCUACUUUACCCCCCACAUCCUAUCCCUAUAGGUGCCCUUGGCUCUGCUCCCUAGGAUGCCAGCCCUGUGAGGGCAGCCUUGGUCCCCAGUGCCUGCAGCAGAUGUGAGCACCUAGUCCAGAUGUGCAGGGCAGACUGCUGCCAGACAGGCAUUCAAGUGACAUUUCUUGAUGUUUCCAGAAGACUUCCCCCGCCCUCCCCACCUCUGGCCAGUGUUUCUACUGAGUAGUUGGAGCCACACUGCUCGUAUUAGCACCUAGUACCUCUCAUGAAGAUCAGCAAACCUCCAGGAUCACCAGCCCCUCGAGAGAGCAGGCCAGGUCCCUGUGAAGAGCCCCGGAUCUGACUGGCCCUGGAUCUGGCAGCCAUCACACGUGGGCCCAGGUGACAGCAGCAUGGCCUUCGAAGUUCUGAAGAAGCUGCGUUUGGAAUCCCAGAAGCUCUACGCAGUGAAUCUUGAAAGAGGGCUGCAUAGGGCCACCUGCAGGUGACAAGGGGCCCCACGCACCUGUCCCAGGAAGCUGCCGGAGGAUGCACGAAGAGUGGGCAGGGGGCCCGUGGAGGGGUGCACGGAAGCCAAGCAGGGCUCGCUGACACCGGGAGAGCUGGGGCAUGGGGUCCCCUUUCAGCACAGGGACAUGCACCCCCGGGUGGCCAGUGGAGGAAAUGGGGGGUGGAGGGCCCCGGAAAGGGGCAGAGCCCCCACACUCUUGUGUCAACUCCAUAAGUAGACGUUAGGAAAUUGCCACGGGCAGGCCGCAGAUGGGGAUCCUGCCGGGAUGGGAAGGAGGGGGAGGUGGGCUAUGUUUCCUUAAGACCGACUUUGCUCCGAUGCUAAGUCCGUCCUAAGAGAACUGGGAAGACGGCCUUCUGCCCGCACCCUGCCCCCAUCCGGGAGAGCGGUCGGUGCGUCUGAGGGGAGGCAGUGCUGACGGGACACUCAGGGAUGGGUGGGCUGUGCUGUCCAGACAUGGCCAGGUGGUGAGAAUGGGCCCUCCCGAGGCUGUCACAUCCGGUGGCCCUGGACCCUCGGGUCACUGCACCAUCGAUUCUUUCAUUAACUGCUUGAUUGAUUAAUCCCCUGGUCACUGAUGCAUUUGUGCCACCGACGUCCACUGGGGGCCUUCCACAUGUGAGACCCUUGCUGGGUGCCAGGAUGGAGCCAGGAUCGACACCGGACAGCCACAGGCUGGCCGGAAGGUGGCCUUGGGGGCGGAAGCUGGGAAGCGGGCCAGUGUCCCCAGCAGGGUGUCAGGUGGGUGAGGAAGCCCAGAGAGGCCUUGCGGCAACCGUGCUUUUUGCUCAGGCUCCGAGAGAUGCCCGUUGCUUCCCCUCCCCCGGGUGGCACGGGCGGGGACGCGUGCCAUGCCACCGCUGCCGGCGGGCCUGGGCCUAGCAGUGUCCUUGUUACUGGGAUGUUCUCACCCUCCUGACAGGAGGGCGGAUUGAGGGGCCUGCAGUCUGCCGGUCGGCCUGGGGGGCCCCGACUCCACACGCCGCUGGGACUGUGUGCCCCGAGGCACCUCGUCCUUGGCCGUGCCGCCCAGGACAUUUGCACAGCCGUCCCGCACAGGCUCUGUGUCUCUUUUCACGUGUCCCUCCCGCUCUGUGGAUCAGGCCAGGCUGGCUCCUCCCCACGCCCUGUCCUUGCACACAGAGUGAAGGGCACAGAGGUGACAAACUUGAGCCCCAGGCCGGCCCGAGGCCAUGCAGCAGGAGGGGACAGAGGAGGGACCAAAGCCAUUCUGGGUGACCAUUACCUGCCUGGCCCUGUGUCUACACCACUAGCCAGUGGGACAGUGAGGAGACCAGCCCAGCACAGGUAAUACCUAGUGCCCAGCUGCCCUGCCUUUGCAGGAGAACCCCUUGCUGGGCCCUCACCUUGCCAUGCCUGAGUAGGCCUGCUCCCACGACACUGCCUCCUGGAAGCCCUCCUGGCUCCCUUCCAAAGCAACACUUCUGUAUCACCCUGCUGACUGUCCUUGUGCUACUCUGGCUCUGACUCCCUGACUCACGGCCUUUCUGAUUUCCUGUCACCCUCCCGUGCCGGCACGUGUCCCCGGAGCCCAGCACAGGCCUGGCGCACGGUGGCGUCCGGGAGGCGUCGGCCAAGGAAUCGAGGAACACGCUUCCCUCCGCACAUCGUGGAAGGAGAUGCCUGCGUGUGGAGUCCCUGCCCUGUGGAAGUCUGUCCCUGGAGCCUCUCCUCCCCCCACAUCUGCCUGGGAGGCCCCUGGUGGCCCCUGCCGCAGGCCCCCAGGGCACGGGCUGCGCGCCUGUGUGCCAAAGUCCGCAGCUAGCCGCGUUCCCGGGAGAAACGUGCGUUUCUGUCCCCGCUGUCCGGCAGGGAAUGUUCGCGGCAGCUUUCUUCACUGUGGCCCUGCCACCUGAAGGGCGGGUACACAGGCGGCGGGUAUCCAGCCAGUGGAGAACCGUCUGAGAGAGCUUGCCCGUGCACGCGAGCCUCACCUGCCCGGGGAAGGGUUCCCAACACAAAAGAGAAGUCUGGGGCUCCGUGAGCCUGACCCAGCGUCGCCCCACGACCCUGGCGCUCCUCCCUGAGGGGGUGCCCAAGACAGGCGACAACCUGUGUCCGGCCACGAGUGCGCACAGCAGCACCGUUCCAGAGAUCGAACAACCCAACAUCCGCCAGCCAACGGACGGGUCCACCAAACGCGGUCUCUCCACCGGCAGAGUGUCACUCGGUCUCAAUAAGGAGCGAGGCAUGGACACUGCCGUGUGGACGAGCCUUAAAAACACAGUGCAGAGUGAGAGAGGCCGGGCCCGGGAGGACACACGUCAUAUGAUCCCAUUUGCAGGAAAAUCCACGGGGACAGAAAGCGGCCUCGUGGUUGCCAGAGACUGGGGAGACAGUGGGGUAAGGACUGACUGUUUCCAAGUCUCCUUUGGAAUGAUGGAAUGUUCCGGACUGAGAGGGGACAGCUGCACAACAGUGCCAAUGUACUCACUGCCACUAAGUCGUAUACUUUGACGUGGUUACGGUGGUGGAUCUCAUGUGGUGUGCGUUGUAUCACAAUACAAAUCAACCCCUCACAAAAAUAAAACAUUGGGAGUGGAAGAGCGUGAACUCUGCCUAGUUCCACCGACCAAGUUUCUGCAUGAGCUCUAAAAACAGCAUAUGGGUUCUCAGGGCAGGACCUUAAUUUUGCAAACUGUUUCCGAGUUGAACAACCCCCUGUGGUAGACUGGGAAUAUCAAAACGCCUAUUGGCAUGGAUUUGGGGAAAGGUUUUAACGUGUGAGAAGACAAGCCUUCCUCCCCUAAAGAAGAGAUCCACUGGCUUGUCCAUGACUUCCAACCUCACACUUUGGACACAUGCUACUCUCCUUGGCUUCCCGAGAGAAGGGCAAGUGACUCAUCCCAACCAUUCCCCCGCUUCAGGAAUCCUGACGGAAAAGAUCGGGAGUGUGGGCAUCUCUCGUGUUAGAGCACAGAGUCGUAACCUCAGGGGAUGGGCGACUCAUCUGAAUGAGCUUUUCAGAAUGCGGGUAACUGGGUCCCUCUGAAACCUGUGGGUAGAACUCCGAGAGAGGCUGGGUGCACCUGCGUGCCUACCUGUGCGGGUACACACGGCACCUGAGUCUGUGUGUGUUUUUAUUUGACUUCUUAGGUGCUUAAUGUCUCAUGUAUAUACAAGAAUGUAUACAUCAUGGUGUGCCUUUCAUAAUAAGGAAGCAGGAGCCCACGUGCCCACCUCCCAACCCAAGAAGUAGAGUUUAACCAGCACCUCCGAGCCCUAGAAACCUUCCUUAAUGGUGUCCUUCAAUGGAGAGACCAUCGCUCAGUCCCCUUCCACUGCCGCCUUGCUUGGCUCCUGCCGUUGAGUCUGGGUGUCUUUGGUUUAUGCUCUCCAGGGGUGGGGGUAGUGUUGCCUGGCUGUGUGGGAUGGGGCUUGGGUAGCAACAGGGGGUCCAGAUACACUGGGGACUUCCAGUGCCUUCUUGGUCCGUACACCAAGGAAACUGGCAAAUGUUAUAAAUCAAGGCUCCCCCACCCACUUAGGAAGACAGUUAUCAAACAUUCACCAACGCCUAACUGGGUAGUUGAUCUCUGACUUCUAGGACCUCAAGUUCAGUGGAAGCGGUAAAACCUACAAGCAUAAGAUAACUUAAGAAUGUUGACGAGAACCCCUCUGGGUAUAUCCCCUAAAGAACCGAGAUCGGGGUCUCGAAGAGACAUCUGCACACCCACGUUCACAGCAGCAUUAUUUACAACGGCCAAGAGAGGGGAGUAACACAGGUACCCAUUGACAGAUGAAUGGAUAAAUAAAAUGUAGUCCAUCCUACACUGGAGUAUGAUUCAGCCUUAAAAAGGAAGGAUGUUCUGACACCUGCUACAACAUGAAUGAACUUGAGGACAUUAUGCUCAGUGAAGUCAGCCCGUCACAAAAAAAGACAAACCCUGUAUGAUUCUACUCACAUGAGCGACGCAGAGUCAAGAUCAUGAAGACAGAACGCAGACUGGUGGUUGCCGGGGGCCAGGGGGGGGGGAAACGGGAAGCUGUUUAA